Molecule: unclassified non-coding RNA, 453 nt
Filed under: Ajuga genevensis
Lineage: Eukaryota; Viridiplantae; Streptophyta; Magnoliopsida; Lamiales; Lamiaceae
Description: sequence contains ITS2
Rfam family: Eukaryotic large subunit ribosomal RNA (bases 313-453)
Source: RNAcentral
UGCUGAAUCCGGUGAACCAUCGAGUCUUUUAACACAAGUUGCGCCCGAAGCCGUCAGGCCAAGGGCACGUCUGCCUGGGCAUCACGCAUCACGUCGCCCCCCUCCAGCGCUUUGGUGCUCGUGUGGGGGUGGAGAAUGGCCUUCCGUGCGCCGCAACGUGUGGCUGGUCUAAAUACAUUCCCUCGGUGAUGCACGUCAUGACCAGUGGUGGUUGAUCAUCAACUCACGUGCUGUCGGGACUAGAGGCAUUUUCCAUGUGUGGAACAAACACAAGACCCAAAGGGUGCAUUCAUUGCAUUGUGCCUCCGACCGCAACUCCAGGUCAGGCGGGACUACUCGCUGAGUUUAAGCAUAUCAAUAAGCGAAGGAAAAGAAACUUACAAGGAUUCUCCUAGUAACGGCGAGCAAACCGGGAAUAGCCCAACUUGAGAAUCGGGCGGCCACGCCAUCCGA